Long non-coding RNA from Folsomia candida, 497 nucleotides. RefSeq lists it as uncharacterized. NCBI's taxonomy places the organism in Eukaryota, Metazoa, Arthropoda, Collembola, Entomobryomorpha, Isotomidae. The record is from RefSeq and is a predicted model, not a curated record. The transcript has 2 exons.
ACCAUUCGUAAAAUACAUACGAUCAGCAUCUCAACUCCCAUAUUUUCCUCAAGUCGUCAUAUUCUCACAAAAAUUUGCCAACAUGAAAACCAUUCUUCCUGCCCUUGUCUUGAUUGUCGCCAUCGCCUACGUUGCGGCUACAGGAUCAGUGGGCGAAGGACUUCCUGCUAGACAAGACCAUGGAGAAGAUUCUGCUGCACAUCCAACAAUGCGACGAUUUGCGGGUCAUGAGGCUUCCUCUCUACUUUCAGAUGAUUGUGAAGUUCAUUGUACGGAUGACUGUCGGGCUGCCUAUUUGUGUUGAUGACGUUGUACUACCAGGUUCAGGCUGUUCGUGGGAUGGUAACAAACGAGUUUUAUUUUCCAAACAUUACACUUUCAGAAUUCCAAAUUUUAAAGUCAUUCAUUGAGUAUUUUUUCUUUUGAUCUGAUUUUUUCUGUACAAUUAGCUACGCAUAUAUUGAUUAAUUAAUAAAAUUUCAAAAUUUGCAAACGUA